UGGGGAAUAUUGCACAAUGGGCGCAAGCCUGAUGCAGCAACGCCGCGUGAGGGACGACGGCCUUCGGGUUGUAAACCUCUUUUAGUAGGGAAGAAGCGAAAGUGACGGUACCUGCAGAAAAAGCACCGGCUAACUACGUGCCAGCAGCCGCGGUAAUACGUAGGGUGCAAGCGUUAUCCGGAAUUAUUGGGCGUAAAGAGCUCGUAGGCGGUUUGUCGCGUCUGCUGUGAAAACUGGAGGCUCAACCUCCAGCCUGCAGUGGAUACGGGCAUCACUAGAGUUCGGCAGGGGAGACUGGAAUUCCUGGUGUAGCGGUGAAAUGCGCAGAUAUCAGGAGGAACACCAGUGGCGAAGGCGGGUCUCUGGGCCGAUACUGACGCUGAGGAGCGAAAGCGUGGGGAGCGAA
RNAcentral lists this ribosomal RNA (406 nucleotides) under uncultured bacterium. RNAcentral's name for it is "bacterial SSU rRNA". It matches the Rfam family "Bacterial small subunit ribosomal RNA", at positions 355 to 772 of the family's 1533-position model. The record is from RNAcentral.